AAUUUAUGGUUGGGGCGUUGAGUUAACUUCUUCUUAAAAUAUAUCCAUGCUUCAUGUAAUGCUUCACCAGGUAGUUGUCUAAAAUAAUAUAACUCAUUCCUUAACU
This is a non-coding RNA of Capsicum annuum, 106 nucleotides long. The record is from Rfam. Lineage: Eukaryota; Viridiplantae; Streptophyta; Magnoliopsida; Solanales; Solanaceae.